RNAcentral lists this ribosomal RNA (280 nucleotides) under Holdemanella biformis DSM 3989. Its description in RNAcentral is "partial 16S ribosomal RNA". It matches the Rfam family "Bacterial small subunit ribosomal RNA", at positions 497 to 776 of the family's 1533-position model. Lineage: Bacteria; Bacillati; Bacillota; Erysipelotrichia; Erysipelotrichales; Erysipelotrichaceae. The record is from RNAcentral.
UAUGGUGUGUGCCAGCCGCCGCGGUAAUACGUAGGUGGCGAGCGUUAUCCGGAAUGAUUGGGCGUAAAGGGUGCGUAGGUGGCAGAUCAAGUCUGGAGUAAAAGGUAUGGGCUCAACCCGUACUGGCUCUGGAAACUGAUCAGCUAGAGAACAGAAGAGGACGGCGGAACUCCAUGUGUAGCGGUAAAAUGCGUAGAUAUAUGGAAGAACACCGGUGGCGAAGGCGGCCGUCUGGUCUGGAUUCUGACACUGAAGCACGAAAGCGUGGGGAGCAAAUAGG